Long non-coding RNA from Sander lucioperca (pikeperch), 327 nucleotides. RefSeq lists it as uncharacterized. The record is from RefSeq and is a predicted model, not a curated record. NCBI's taxonomy places the organism in Eukaryota, Metazoa, Chordata, Actinopteri, Perciformes, Percidae. The transcript has 3 exons.
UCAUUAAGGAGACAAAUGCAAUGCUGAAGUCCACAUCGCCGUUGCCUCACUCACUUAGUGCAGAGUGGAAGGAGAUUCAGGGCAACAAAGUUUUUGUAAUUCUUCGCCAAAACACACAAAGUAGGUUUGUCCUAAAUGAGGAGACCAGGGGCGCGGGAAGUAGGGGUGCUGGAGGUGCUGCAGCACCCCCUGUUAGCAAACUGCGAUGACAAUAAAAUGAUAGCUUAUAAAUAUCUCUGGUUGUUGUUUCUGUUCCACGACAUUUUGUAUGUCAUGUUUGGGGUGUGGGAUGAAGAGAGGGAUAAUUUUACAACUAUUUAAAGUAAU